GCGGAGGAAAAGAAACCGACAGGGAUUGCCUCAGUAACGGCGAGUGAAGCGGCAACAGCUCAAAUUUGAAAUCUGGCCCUAGGCCCGAGUUGUAAUUUGCAGAGGAUGCUUUUGGUGCGGUGCCUUCCAAGUUCCCUAGAACGGGACGCCAGAGAGGGUGAGAGCCCCGUACAGUUGGACACCAAGCCUUUGUAAAGCUCCUUCGACGAGUCGAGUAGUUUGGGAAUGCUGCUCAAAAUGGGAGGUAUAUUUCUUCUAAAGCUAAAUACCGGCCAGAGACCGAUAGCGCACAAGUAGAGUGAUCGAAAGAUGAAAAGCACUUUGAAAAGAGGGUUAAACAGCACGUGAAAUUGUUAAAAGGGAAGCGCUUGUGACCAGACUUGCGUCCGGUGAAUCACCCAGCUCUCGCGGCUGGGGCACUUCGCCGGCUCAGGCCAGCAUCAGCUCGCUGUCGGGGACAAAAGCUUCAGGAACGUAGCUCUCUUCGGGGAGUGUUAUAGCCUGUUGCAUAAUACCCUUCGGCGGGCUGAGGUACGCGCUCCGCAAGGAUGCUGGCAUAAUGGUCAUCAGCGACCCGUCUUGAAACACGGACCAAGGAGUCAACCUUAUGUGCGAGUGUUCGGGUGUCAAACCCCUACGCGUAAUGAAAGUGAACGCAGGUGAGAGCUUCGGCGCAUCAUCGACCGAUCCUGAUGUUCUCGGAUGGAUUUGAGUAAGAGCAUAUAGGGUUGGACCCGAAAGAAGGUGAACUAUGCGUGUAUAGGGUGAAGCCAGAGGAAACUCUGGUGGAGGCUCGCAGCGGUUCUGACGUGCAAAUCGAUCGUCAAAUAUGCGCAUGGGG
Molecule: small RNA, 841 nt
Filed under: Colletotrichum gloeosporioides
Lineage: Eukaryota; Fungi; Ascomycota; Sordariomycetes; Glomerellales; Glomerellaceae
Description: eukaryotic LSU rRNA
Rfam family: Eukaryotic large subunit ribosomal RNA
Source: RNAcentral